UACGUAGGCAGCGAGCGUUGUUCGGAGUUACUGGGCGUAAAGCGUGCGUAGGCGGUGUCUUAAGUUUGUUGUGAAAUCUCCCGGCUUAACCGGGAGGGUGCGGCGAAUACUGAGAUGCUGGAGUGCCGGAGAGGUAAGCGGAAUUCCUGGUGUAGCGGUGAAAUGCGUAGAUAUCAGGAGGAACACCUGCGGUGUAGACGGCUUACCGGACGGUAACUGACGCUGAGGCACGAAAGCGUGGGUAGCAAACAGG
Molecule: ribosomal RNA, 253 nt
Filed under: uncultured bacterium
Lineage: Bacteria
Description: partial 16S ribosomal RNA
Rfam family: Bacterial small subunit ribosomal RNA
Source: RNAcentral